GACGAACGCUGGCGGCGUGCUUAACACAUGCCAGUCGAACGGAAAGGCCCUGCUUUUGUGGGGUGCUCGAGUGGCGAACGGGUGAGUAACACGUGAGUAACCUGCCCUUGACUUUGGGAUAACUUCAGGAAACUGGGGCUAAUACCGGAUAGGAGCUCCUGCUGCACGGUGGGGGUUGGAAAGUUUCGGCGGUUGGGGAUGGACUCGCGGCUUAUCAGCUUGUUGGUGGGGUAGUGGCUUACCAAGGAUUUGACGGGUAGCCGGCCUGAGAGGGUGACCGGCCACAUUGGGACUGAGAUACGGCCCAGACUCCUACGGGAGGCAGCAGUGGGGAAUAUUGCACAAUGGGCGGAAGCCUGAUGCAGCAACGCCGCGUGCGUGAUGACGGCCUUCGGGUUGUAAACCGCUUUCGCCUGUGACGAAGCGUGAGUGACGGUAAUGGGUAAAGAAGCACCGGCUAACUACGUG
RNAcentral lists this ribosomal RNA (468 nucleotides) under uncultured bacterium. Its description in RNAcentral is "partial 16S ribosomal RNA". It matches the Rfam family "Bacterial small subunit ribosomal RNA", at positions 28 to 507 of the family's 1533-position model. The record is from RNAcentral.